RNAcentral lists this ribosomal RNA (279 nucleotides) under uncultured bacterium. RNAcentral describes it as "partial 16S ribosomal RNA". It matches the Rfam family "Bacterial small subunit ribosomal RNA", at positions 506 to 784 of the family's 1533-position model. The record is from RNAcentral.
UGCCAGCAGCCGCGGUAAUACGGAGGGUGCGAGCGUUAAUCGGAAUUACUGGGCGUAAAGCGCGCGUAGGCGGUUUGUUAAGUCGGAUGUGAAAGCCCUGGGCUCAACCUGGGAACUGCAUUCGAUACUGGCUAACUAGAGUGCGAGAGAGGGAGGUAGAAUUCCAUGUGUAGCGGUGAAAUGCGUAGAUAUGUGGAGGAAUACCGGUGGCGAAGGCGCCACACUGGAACGGAUCCGACGGUCAGGGACGAAACCUAGGGGCACGAACCGGAUUAGAUA